RNAcentral lists this ribosomal RNA (497 nucleotides) under uncultured bacterium. Its description in RNAcentral is "bacterial SSU rRNA". It matches the Rfam family "Bacterial small subunit ribosomal RNA", at positions 15 to 518 of the family's 1533-position model. The record is from RNAcentral.
GAUCAUGGCUCAGGAUGAACGCUGGCGGCGUGCUUAACACAUGCAAGUCGAACGGAGCUUAAGAAGGAAGCUUGCUUCAUUUAAGCUUAGUGGCGGACGGGUGAGUAACGCGUGAGCAACCUGCCCUUCAGUGGGGAAUAACACCGAGAAAUCGGUGCUAAUACCGCAUAAUGUCGGAGGACCGCAUGAUCUUCCGACCAAAGGAUUUAUUCGCUGAAGGAUGGGCUCGCGUCCGAUUAGGCAGUUGGCGGGGUAACGGCCCACCAAACCGACGAUCGGUAGCCGAACUGAGAGGUUGAUCGGCCACAUUGGGACUGAGACACGGCCCAGACUCCUACGGGAGGCAGCAGUGGGGAAUAUUGGGCAAUGGGCGAAAGCCUGACCCAGCAACGCCGCGUGAAGGAUGAAGGUCUUCGGAUUGUAAACUUCUUUGAUUGGGGAAGAAUAAAUGACCUACCCAAAGAACAAGUCACGGCUAACUACGUGCCAGCCGCUGC